CAACUUAUAUUGAGUUAUAUGUACAAUUUACGUCGUCAACUGAUGUACUUCCGUCCGAUGUUCGAGAUGUAUACACGACCCAUGGCCGACACUCGGUUAGCGGGUUACAAAAUACGGAACAGCCCAUGUUCGGUAGUGGUGUCGAAUGCACAUCCCCCGCAAGACACUCUGUCGGUGGAUGGGACAUGUACGUCUGUGGCUCGACGUUUGACGCUGGAAAUACGUACUGGGGAACUGUAUCAAGUUCUAGUGGAUGACAAUCUACAUCCAAUUGGGGACGUUAUCAAAUGCCUAG
This 295-nucleotide long non-coding RNA is filed under the name Gossypium barbadense (sea-island cotton). RNAcentral describes it as "long non-coding RNA (GBAR_LNC020820)". The record is from RNAcentral. Lineage: Eukaryota; Viridiplantae; Streptophyta; Magnoliopsida; Malvales; Malvaceae.